AAAGACUCAAUUCUUGGGUUUCCGUGUCCAACGUUUGAACGUCCGUCUUAUAUAAAAUUUUUAUGAUUAGUAUUUUUAUUACUGUUAGAUGAUAAAACAUGAAUAAUACUUUAUAUAUGACUUAUCUUUUUAAAUUUUUUCAUAUUUUUUUUAAAUAAGACGGACAAUCAAACGUUAGACAUGGAAACCUAGGAAUUAAG
Molecule: microRNA precursor, 200 nt
Organism: Oryza sativa Japonica Group (Japanese rice)
Lineage: Eukaryota; Viridiplantae; Streptophyta; Magnoliopsida; Poales; Poaceae
Rfam family: MIR812 microRNA precursor family
Source: Rfam